This 252-nucleotide ribosomal RNA is filed under the name uncultured bacterium. Its description in RNAcentral is "partial 16S ribosomal RNA". It matches the Rfam family "Bacterial small subunit ribosomal RNA", at positions 524 to 776 of the family's 1533-position model. The record is from RNAcentral.
UACGAAGGGGCUAGCGUUGCUCGGAAUCACUGGGCGUAAAGGGCGCGUAGGCGGCGUUUUUAAGUCGGGGGUGAAAGCCUGUGGCUCAACCACAGAAUUGCCUCGAUACUGGUUGGCUUGAGACCGGAAGAGGACAGCGGAACUGCGAGUGUAGAGGUGAAAUUCGUAGAUAUUCGCAAGAACACCCGUGGCUAAGGCGGCUCUCUAGUACGGUACUGACGCUGAGACGCGAAAGCGUGGGGAGCGAACGAG